GAUGAAGAACGCAGCGAAAUGCGAUACGUAAUGUGAAUUGCAGAAUUCAGUGAAUCGUCGAGUCUUUGAACGCACAUUGCGCCCCCUGGUAUUCCGGGGGGCAUGCCUGUCCGAGCGUCAUUGCUGCCCUCAAGCACGGCUUGUGUGUUGGGCCUCCGUCCUCCUCCCGGGGGACGGGCCCGAAAGGCAGCGGCGGCACCGCGUCCGGUCCUCGAGCGUAUGGGGCUUCGUCACCCGCUCUUGUAGGCCCGGCCGGCGCUUGCCGACACAUCAAUCUUUUUUCCAGGUUGACCUCGGAUCAGGUAGGGAUACCCGCUGAACUUAAGCAUAUCAAUAAGCGGAGCA
RNAcentral lists this unclassified non-coding RNA (345 nucleotides) under soil metagenome. RNAcentral describes it as "partial contains 5.8S ribosomal RNA, internal transcribed spacer 2, and large subunit ribosomal RNA". The stretch from base 1 to 120 matches the Rfam family "5.8S ribosomal RNA", at positions 35 to 154 of the family's 154-position model. The record is from RNAcentral.